This 325-nucleotide ribosomal RNA is filed under the name uncultured eukaryote. RNAcentral's name for it is "partial 18S ribosomal RNA". It matches the Rfam family "Eukaryotic small subunit ribosomal RNA", at positions 1470 to 1796 of the family's 1831-position model. The record is from RNAcentral.
CCCCUAGAUGUUCUGGGCCGCACGCGCGCUACACUGACUGGUGCAACAAGUGUCGCUCCUUGGCCGAUAGGCCUGGGCAAUCUUUGAACGCCAGUCGUGAUGGGGAUAGAUUCUUGCAAUUUUUGAUCUUCAACGAGGAAUUCCUAGUAAACGCGAGUCAUCAACUCGCAUUGAUUACGUCCCUGCCCUUUGUACACACCGCCCGUCGCACCUACCGAUUGAAUGGUCCGGUGAACCCUCCGGAUCGGCCCGCGCCAACGCAAGUUGAGCAAAGGCCGAGAAGUUGGGUAAACCUUAUCACUUAGAGGAAGGAGAANUCGUAACA